GCCUUCUGGAAGGCGUUGCGCGCAGCAUUCGCCUCGGCGAGCUGCUCCUCGUCAUAGACGUAGAUCGC
Molecule: small RNA, 68 nt
Filed under: Sinorhizobium meliloti 2011
Lineage: Bacteria; Pseudomonadati; Pseudomonadota; Alphaproteobacteria; Hyphomicrobiales; Rhizobiaceae
Description: putative ncRNA
Source: RNAcentral